CUCCUUGACGUUUUCCACAGCAAUCACAAAGGAGGCACUAUCUUUUAACUCCCUCUCCAGACGCAAAACACUAUCGAGAAAGCGUUUCUCCUCCUUGGUCAACCUCCAGCAGUAGUCAUUAAGUUCCUUGACGAAUUCCAAAAAUUCACCAAAAUCCUCCAUCAGGUCCUCCGUACUUAUGGUCAGCAUACGCCGGAGUCGCUUGAUGACGGGAGAAGCGGGAGAUUGACCACAUUCAAAGGGAGGAUUUUUGGGAGACAUAAUUUUGAAAAAGAAAAACUCUUAAAAUCGAGCAGGUGGAAAGGAUGAGUCGAUCAUGUCGUCGGAUGCUUCAUUUAUAGAUGAAAAAUUUCAUCGUGGCAGCAGUAAGUGGGGAGACGGUUGAUGGAUACUGCAUAGGGAUGUAGGAACAUGCGUAAGGAAAUGGAGACGUGACGAAAAUUAUUUCGCGCCAAAACACUGAAAGAAAAAAUUCGAACCACAUUCAAGCACUUCACUCCUAUGGACUUCGUGCUUGGGGGGCUGUGGACUGGGCAAUGGGCUUAAGGAAAUAUCCAGUAAGCCCAAUUAGAGUAAGAAGGAUGAUAGGCCCAAAUCAAGUAAACCCUAAAUACCCAAUAGGCGAUAAGAAG
This 632-nucleotide long non-coding RNA is filed under the name Trifolium pratense (red clover). RNAcentral describes it as "long non-coding RNA (TPRA_LNC010042)". Lineage: Eukaryota; Viridiplantae; Streptophyta; Magnoliopsida; Fabales; Fabaceae. The record is from RNAcentral.